ACCUUCCAGGUUGCAGCCUGAUUUAGGCUGAUGGCUGAUGGCUGGUGGCUUUUGGGUCACCAGCCU
This 66-nucleotide small RNA is filed under the name Sodalis sp. TME1. Its description in RNAcentral is "Pseudomonas sRNA P26". It matches the Rfam family "Pseudomonas sRNA P26". From Rfam's summary of the family: P26 is conserved across many Gammaproteobacteria species and appears to be consistently located between the DNA directed RNA polymerase (beta subunit) and 50S ribosomal protein L7/L12 genes. The record is from Rfam by way of RNAcentral. Lineage: Bacteria; Pseudomonadati; Pseudomonadota; Gammaproteobacteria; Enterobacterales; Bruguierivoracaceae.